This 229-nucleotide ribosomal RNA is filed under the name uncultured Staphylococcus sp. RNAcentral's name for it is "partial 16S ribosomal RNA". It matches the Rfam family "Bacterial small subunit ribosomal RNA", at positions 111 to 334 of the family's 1533-position model. The record is from RNAcentral. Lineage: Bacteria; Bacillati; Bacillota; Bacilli; Caryophanales; Staphylococcaceae.
AGACACGUGGAUAACCUACCUAUAAGACUGGGAUAACUUCGGGAAACCGGAGCUAAUACCGGAUAAUAUUUUGAACCGCAUGGUUCAAAAGUGAAAGACGGUCUUGCUGUCACUUAUAGAUGGAUCCGCGCUGCAUUAGCUAGUUGGUAAGGUAACGGCUUACCAAGGCAACGAUGCAUAGCCGACCUGAGAGGGUGAUCGGCCACACUGGAACUGAGACACGGUCCAG